AGUGAACGCUGGCGGUAGGCCUAACACAUGCAAGUCGAACGGCAGCACAGUAAGAGCUUGCUCUUACGGAUGGCGAGUGGCGGACGGGUGAGGAAUACAUCGGAAUCUACUUUUUCGGGGGGGAUAACGUAGGGAAGCUUACGCUAAUACCGCAUACGACCUACGGGUGAAAGCAGGGGAUCUUCGGACCUUGCGCGAUUGAAUGAGCCGAUGUCGGAUUAGCUAGUUGGCGGGGUAAAGGCCCACCAAGGGGAGGAUCCGUUGCUGGUGUGAGUGGAUGAUCGCCGACAUUGGAACGGGGACAGCGACCAGGGUCCUGCGGGAGGCACCAGUGUGGUACAUUGGGCAAUGGUCGCAAGUCUUAUCCAGCCAUACCGCGUGUGUUACGAAGGCCUUCGGGUUGUAAAGCCCUUUUGUUGGGAAAGAAAAGCAUUAGGCUAUUACCACGCGUUACUGACGGUACCCAAAGAAGAAGCACCGGCUAACUUCGUG
This 492-nucleotide ribosomal RNA is filed under the name uncultured bacterium. Its description in RNAcentral is "partial 16S ribosomal RNA". It matches the Rfam family "Bacterial small subunit ribosomal RNA", at positions 29 to 507 of the family's 1533-position model. The record is from RNAcentral.